AGUGAACGCUGGCGGUAGGCCUAACACAUGCAAGUCGAACGGCAGCACAGUAAGAGCUUGCUCUUACGGGUGGCGAGUGGCGGACGGGUGAGGAAUACAUCGGAAUCUACUUUUUCGUGGGGGAUAACGUAGGGAAACUUACGCUAAUACCGCAUACGACCUACGGGUGAAAGCAGGGGAUCUUCGGACCUUGCGCGAUUGAAUGAGCCGAUGUCGGAUUAGCUAGUUGGCGGGGUAAAGGCCCACCAAGGCGACGAUCCGUAGCUGGUCUGAGUGGAUGAUCAGCCACACUGGAACUGAGACACAGUCCAGACUCCUACGGGAGGCAGCAGUGGGGAAUAUUGGACAAUGGGCGCAAGCCUGAUCCAGCCAUACCGCGUGGGUGAAGAAGGCCUUCGGGUUGUAAAGCCCUUUUGUUGGGAAAGAAAAGCAGCAGGUUAAUACCCCGCUGUUCUGACGGUACCCAAAGAAUAAGCACCGGCUAACUUCGUG
RNAcentral lists this ribosomal RNA (492 nucleotides) under uncultured bacterium. Its description in RNAcentral is "partial 16S ribosomal RNA". It matches the Rfam family "Bacterial small subunit ribosomal RNA", at positions 29 to 507 of the family's 1533-position model. The record is from RNAcentral.